AUCCCCAGGGACAUGCAAAGAGGGGCGAGGGUUUGAACGUGAAACCAAAUCCCUUGGGUGAGGGAGAGAGGAAGAAAUGGGCCAAGGAAAUCAAUGUCAUGAGUGAUUGUUUGUUUGAUGAGGGUUUUGGUGUUCAACGGGUGAAAUUCCUAUUGUAUUGGAAAGAAUGAAUAAGAUGGAUGCUCAAGCAAUGAGAGGGAAGGACACUUCCAAAGGAAAAAGGCCAACCAGGAUUAGAUAUAGUUGGUUUUCCACUAAUUUGUUUUAGUAGAGAAUGCAUCUAAUAUGGCCUAAGGUAGAGCAUGAUCUAGGGUGGUGCUUGACCAACAUCAAGGAAACUAUGAGUACAUGCUUAAUCAAUCGUACAAACAUACCUUGGGUGCUGUCAUCCAGAGUUGAGAGGGAAAUAACCUAGAUUGCAUGCUAAGGUCCCUAAGAAAUAUCUUAGUGGAACAGGAAGUGAUUGAGCAAUGAAGGAGGUGGGCUUGGAAGAGUUAAGUAGGCUCUAAAGAGGUAAGAGGGUGAGAGUACCAACCAAGUGUUAAUAUUAGGACGUUCUAUCAAUCGAGGAAGGGACAACACCUGGAGAUACAGGAAGUGAGGAUCCUGAAAUGAGUAAUGAUGAAUUAUGUGAAAAACAUGAUCACUUGCUAGUUCCAUUCUUUCUAUGUUCAUUCAAUCUACCCAGAGUGAAUCGGUCUCUAAGGGACCAAAUAAGAUAUUUUUUCCAAUGAGUACAAGAAAGUGAUGAAGUUACCUCGACUAUUGACCCAUGUGUGUUUGUUGAAAUGAAUUGGAUGAGAGUUUUAUUUUCCUACCAACCAAAUUGAAUGAAUGCAAAAGAACACUUCUAUUAGGGUUUCAACUUCCAGGAAAAAACUUCAAAUUAGGAGAGCGAUAUUCCCAGUGAACUAAUUGUACCCCAAACCAACAUAGGUGAACAAGUGGAGUAUACUAGGGAACCCGAGAGAACCAUGUUAAAGGAACUUGAAAAAAUGAACCAAUAACUUCGGGAGAAGGGAUGCUCUCCCUCCUAUAUUUGGGUUGGGAAAGUGACACAUAUUGGGGGUAGUGAUUGUUUAUUAGAAACACAGGACUCUUCCAAGUGGUAACAUGACGUAUAGAGUCUAACACCUUCCUGGUGGUGGAAGGUUGGAAGGAUAAGUGUGAUAUGAUAUUCUAAUGGAAUGGUAAACAACAACAAUAACUCUAACUAUCCUAAGGUAGAGAAAUUCCUUGUUGCAUAAGUAGUGACUUGCAUGAAUGGUGUAACAACUACCUCACUUUCUCUGACAUGGACCUAGUGAAAUUGAAAUCUCCAUGAAUAUGUAGAGUACCCAUGGCUAGAUGGUAAGAUCCAAUGCACCUUGAUUAUAGCUUCGUAGUGACAACCUAUUAUGAACAUGUGGGAUAGGUGGGAUGUGGAGAACCACAAAUCUUGGAAUACCACUCUUUCGUCUAAGGAUGCCCAACUGCUUAUUUCUCUACAUUCAUUCUUAGGAUGGGACACUACAUAAUUUCUCUAGGGAAAAUUCCUCUUAAAGAGUAACGGAGGUGUGUAAAGGGAUUUCUAUAAUCAAGCUACAUGGUUUAAGCAUGCAUGAUUAUUAGACUCACAUAGAUCAGAUUGCAGAUUGAAAACCAUUGAAUCCUAUAUAAUAGAAUAUUGAUCGAAUUAUAUGGGAAAACUUAGACCUUUUCAUCUUAUUUAUCCAUUUCAUAGGGGGGAGGGGGAAUAAAUUAGAGAGAGCCUCACUCAGUUUCUCAAUCAAUAAUUGAGCAAGGUGAAUGGUUCAUUCGAGUGUCGUGGGAAAUAACAUGUGUAGAGGUGGGGAGUGAAUUGUAGGUUGGGGUUAG
Non-coding RNA from Picea glauca (white spruce), 1857 nucleotides. The record is from Rfam. Lineage: Eukaryota; Viridiplantae; Streptophyta; Pinopsida; Pinales; Pinaceae.